GUUAGGGUGUUUUUUUCUACGUGUGCUUUACACAUGAUACUAGUAUGUCGCUGUGGCUUAUAGCAUGCCCGCAGUCCCCGCCACGGCCAAUGGAAUGUUUGGAGAAUAUGUCAAAGCUUUCAAGUUUGAUGCAACGUAAACCAAGCUGAUUACGAACACAGCAGUCAUUUCGCUGCCAGGCAGAGAGGAGACAACACGGCUCUGGGACCUGUCUCUGAUGAUUAAUAACGACUGCCCCCACGCACUGCAAUUCGGUCGGGCAAGAGAGAUCCACACGAACUCCUGCCGCUGCAAGGGACGUCGCUGAUGGCUUACACUGGAAGACGAGCUGUAUCACUGAAGGGAAGGACAUCCGUGUGCAAAUUGCUACAAGGGGACUGAGGCUGGGUGCCAUGCAAAACCAGAAACAAUGUUGCCCGAAGGAGCAAGGCCAUGAGAGGGAAAUGCCAGACCGGCAGCAGAGCCGCGUGCAACCAAGCGAUUGCGCUGCUAUUGAAGGAAAAACUGACUGCAGUUAGAGAAUUCAUGGACUAACAUACAUGUGCUGUCUGCGUUA
This is a long non-coding RNA of Branchiostoma floridae (Florida lancelet), 556 nucleotides long. RefSeq lists it as uncharacterized. Lineage: Eukaryota; Metazoa; Chordata; Leptocardii; Amphioxiformes; Branchiostomatidae. The transcript is spliced from 3 exons. The record is from RefSeq and is a predicted model, not a curated record.